AGAGUUUGAUCAUGGCUCAGGAUGAACGCUAGCGGCAGGCCUAAUACAUGCAAGUCGAACGAGUCGCAAGACUAGUGGCGCACGGGUGCGUAACGCGUAUGCAACCUACCUUUCAGUGGGGCAUAACCUUGAGAAAUCAGGGCUAAUUCCGCAUAUACUCUUCUGGUGGCAUCACCUGGGAGAGGAAACAUUUAUGGUUGAAAGAUGGGCAUGCGUCUGAUUAGUUAGUUGGCAGUGUAACGGACUACCAAGACGAUGAUCAGUAGGGGUUCUGAGAGGAAGGUCCCCCACACUGGCACUGAGAUACGGGCCAGACUCCUACGGGAGGCAGCAGUAGGGAAUAUUGGGCAAUGGAAGCAAUUCUGACCCAGCCAUGCCGCGUGCAGGAAGAAGGUGCUCUGCACUGUAAACUGCUUUUGACAGGGAGCAAAAAGCUCAUGCGUGAGUAAUUGAGAGUACCUGUAGAAUAAGCACCGGCUAACUCCGUGCCAGCCGCCGCGGUAAUUC
This 507-nucleotide ribosomal RNA is filed under the name uncultured bacterium. RNAcentral's name for it is "bacterial SSU rRNA". It matches the Rfam family "Bacterial small subunit ribosomal RNA", at positions 8 to 526 of the family's 1533-position model. The record is from RNAcentral.